Molecule: long non-coding RNA, 645 nt
Organism: Nerophis ophidion (straightnose pipefish)
Lineage: Eukaryota; Metazoa; Chordata; Actinopteri; Syngnathiformes; Syngnathidae
Exons: 5
Source: RefSeq, a predicted model, not a curated record
AGCGUGAUGGCGAAUGGGCCCCAGUGACAGAGCCAUUCAGUUGCACGGGCCAUAAAUUACGGUGUGGAACGCCACAUUUACCACUGCAUUCUGUCAAAAAACCGGCAAAGGUUCUUGAGCACAGCCAAAAUGCCAGGAACAAAAGGUAAUAAGUCGGACAAGAAGUCAACCACCAAGCAACCUCAAAGUCCUAAAGAGCAGCCAAAGAAAGUUGAUCAGAAAGGAGAUGACAACAAGAAGCAAGGAGGACAGCCGAAGGGAGAGAAGCAGUAACUUCCAGGCGUUUGUGAAGAUGGCUUUAGAGACGUUGCUGGGGUCCUGCCGUCGCAAACACGGAGGUCCCCGAGGCAGACAGGGCUGAGCUAUAAGCCUUCCUCCAGUCCUCUGAGUCUGCCGACUGGGUAGUUGGGUUGUCGUCCAACACAAGAUCUGCUCACCUCUAACAGAGAUGGAAAAUUUAACCUUUAUCUGUUCCCCAAACUGUCCACCCAACAUUCUGGAUGUUCAGACUCCAGUAGAAAAUAGACCACUGCUGAGGGCAAGAUCACAGUGUGUCAUUCUAUCCCAAUUUAAUUGACUGUUUAACAGUCCUUACAUUUUCCUUGUAAAUAAUACAAAUAUUCAAAUAAACUCUUUCUUACAUCA